UGGGGAAGAUGAAAGCACAGGAAAGUCUGUUGUCCAAUUCUGGGCAGACGCCUGGACAUCUCCAAGGACCAGAGUCUAUGGACCUCAGUCUUCAGGGGUUUGUGCAGGGUGGGGUCCACAGAAGUCUCUUCCAGUGGGAGAAGCAGAUCUGAUUGCCUCUCUCAGCCCUGCCUCUCACUAGCUGUUUCCCUGUGUAAGUCACAUGGCAUCUGCAUGGGUGUUUGUGUCAGCAUCAUGCGAGGAUGGCUCCCCUCCCUCUCGGGCUGUGAGCACCGCCCCAAAGCAGGUGGAUGAUGUUCCUAACACAAAGCUGGGGGAGGAAGUGGUUUGAAUCCCACAUCUUGAUUUACUGAGUGGGGUAGUCAGUCUUCGAAGUUUCUUCCUCAGCUCGGGGCCAGCCCAGACCGAAUGUGGUUUCCUCUCGGUGUGUAUGCACGUGUGCAGGCAAGUGUGCGGGCAAGUGUGCGUGUGUCAGAGCGACUCGCCUUUCAUGGACCUGGGGUUCAUGGCCACCUGAGGAGCCCAGGACUCCCUCUCAGACCUGCCCAACAUGCCAAGACGUUUUGGGACCCAGAUAGACACUCAUAGACCUGGGCAAGUACCUGGUUCAUAAAUCUUCGAUGCCUGGCCUUACCUCUAUGUUAGAAUAUGGUAUAAGUUUGGAUUUAGUUUAACACCAAAUCAGCUAGUUAGUUACUCUCUUUAACUCUAUGUCUCUCAGAGAGCACUUUCACUUCCAGACCAUCUACCCCCAGAAAGCUUUGAGAAGCCCCUGAGAGCCACAGCUCCAAAAGGAUUAUUCUUCAGAAGUGGGGAGGCUUGAGAUCUAGCUGUGGUUCUCUCUGCAACCUGCCAUUAACAACCCUCUUGAACUUGCUGGGUCUCAGUUUCCCACUUCUGCUUGGAGAACAGCCGUGCCUACCUCAUCCUACCUCAUGGGUUGGUAUGAGGCUCAAGGGGAUGGAAGGGUUGUGAAAUGCAAUGUCAACCCAUUCCAACUGAUUCUUACAUGAAUAAAUUCCAUGAUGACUUGGGUGCAGAGUCUGUGCAAUUGUCAUAGUAGGCUCUGGGACCCAAAGGUAGCAGGACCUACCCUCUGCCACCAUGAGCUCACAGGCUAUUCUUAUUUCUAGAAGCGGACUUCAAGACUGUGAGCCUUUUGUGCCCACAUGGCAUAGUGUCUGCUUGCCUGUGAAUUUUUGGUAAGGGAGUUCUUAACAUGCUUGUCCCUUUCCCUACCCCACACAAUCGCUCUGCAGGAGAGAAGGAGGGGGCCAGCUAACACCCUCUGUCCAGAUGGCAGUUGGAGUCAAUGAAGCUCAGAGGAGUGAGUGAUUCACCAGGACCGAGUAGCAAGACGGCAGCUGAUGGGAGAUCAGGGCUCCUGCCUGCCCUUUUUAAAAAAUCAUAUCAAGAUUUAAUGUACAUAUACUCUUUUUUUAAAAAAAUACCUAUGUUCCUAACAUGUGGGACAUACAGUAUAAAGAUUUCAUACUGGAUAAAUGAUGCUCAUUAAGCCAAAAGAGAGAAAAAGGAGGACUUUGCCUUGCUUCAGCUACAUUAUUUGAAAUACAAAUAUGCAGAUUUUGUUACUGGGAAAAAUCUGAACUGUUUCUUUAUCAGGAACUUCAACUGAAUCUAGAAUUUUCCACACCUUAAUUAUAAAGAAAGCACAACAAUAACAAAACUCAGAAAAACUGGACUAAAACUUCCUUAGCUCCUGAGACAGGACUGUUUCACAUCGUGUCAAGAGAGACGACGUCCAGCAGGAGAUUGAAUGGCUGUGUCUCACUUUCACAGGUCACCCACUUGCCAAGUUGUGAUACUAUAAAAGAGUGACUGGGAGGUGACCAAACUGUGGAGACUCAGAGGGUGUGUGCAGCAGGAGCGUCAUACAUGCAGAUCGCAGAGCUCAUCGCUUUUCCAGGAAUGAGUUGCAAGGCAGAAAGACCAGGGAUGCUCAGAGCUUGAGUGCCCCGGGCAGUUGCUGUGUCCCUGGCAUGACUGGGCUGCCACUGGAAUCUCAUCACCUGCCAGGACUCAGGAGGAAGUAGGGAGGACAUCUUGGGUGGGAUGGCAGGGGCAGCGGGGCCUUCCAAGCCUCUGUGGACAAAGCCUGGAGGGGCCAGCACUAGGGAGGACCUCUGUGUGGUCUUAGGCCUGUGCAAGGCCCUGCCCUUGCAUAGGAAGAGAUGAUCCUCAUUCCUGGCUUUCUCCAAAGACUGUCUCCUUGAGUUCUUCCACAGCGGUCAUCAACUGGAGACCUGGGGGCCUUGUGUGGGCUGCAGACAGGUUUUAUUUGAUUGAAUUGUUUUCAAUAACUGCAAUAGCAGUCAGCAUUGAAACACUGAUUUCAAAUCAAAACUCUGGGCCUUUUCUGAGAACGUGGGCCAUCUGGCCACCCAGGAGCCCAGCCCUGUGUGGCCACUAUUGCUGGGCCCAGUUGAGUCCCUGCUGCCCUUUAGCACAUGUCCCUGGGUUCCCACCCAGCCAGCCUCCCUCAUUUUCAUCACCUGCCUGGCAUGGGUCCUGGGACCCAUCCCCAAGUCUGUAUUUUAUUGAUGGUGAAGCCGGAGACCUGCCUUAAAAGAUGUAGAAACAGAAACUCUGAGAGUCCUCCCCAUCCCAGCCCUUUUGAGCAGCUUCAGGUUUCUGUGGGCCAGAGACAGCUGGGCCAACAGAAGAGGAGGUGAUGGUGGCCCUCACUCCACCUCCACCGUGGAUGUGCCCCCUCCCCACCCCCAACAACCAUUGCAUUUUCCAGAUUAAAGAUUCCAGGCAGGCUGGGACUUAUUUCCCACUCAGUGUCUGGGACGUAUUCUCCUUCAAGUCAUUACAGGUUCGAGAUCUCCAGCAACCCCGGGUCUUGAAGGCGGGGCUGUCUUUUCUGACAGCCCCGGGGUGCUCAGACACCAAGCUUCCUCUGUUCCCUUUCCAUUCGCCCCGCUCUAGCCUUUGGUCUGGGUGCAGCCUGUCAGCAUUAAGUAAGCACUUCUUGUGGUUCGCUUAUAACAAUUCUUCAGAUCUUGGGAGCCGGGCUGUGGGGCUCUGCAUAUGUAUAGAUCUCAUUUUCACACAACAGGCUGCUUAGCAUAUGGGGACCCAGACCAGCCUCCAACAUUUAGCUCUGAGUUAAGACGUGGGAAACUAGGUGGCUUUUAACCAGCCCAUAUUGCUGCCAGUGCUCAACCUUAGGGAAUUUUCACAGGGAAAAGGAAAAAAAAAAAAAGACACAAAAAACCAACAACAACAACACACACCACACACACAUAUAAAAUCAACAAAACCACAGUUUUCCUUGCUCCCCCAAACCAGAUGGCAGAUGGUAUGGAACCAAUAAAACACAGAUUCAAGCGUUUGUUUAUUUAAGUUUGAAAGUAAUAUGGCUUUGUGGUCCCUUGCAAGGAAACACCAACCUUCCAACCAAAGAAAUGACGGAUUACAGUCCAACCUCAGGGUGGCAGUUGGAGGAGAGAUUUCUGGGGAGGCAAUGGAAGGAGGGGCCAGGGACAACUCAUGGCAGGACCCCAAGCCUCAUGGCCCAUUUGCCUUGUUGGGUGAAGGUCUAGGAAGUCUUCCUGAACCCCGAGAUGCUUGGUUUUUCUGGUUGGUCUUUGGUUGAGAUUCAGUCCAAAAGGCAGCUAGCCAUAUGAGGAAUGUUUCUGCGUCAUUUCUGAAACAGCUGUGGGAGAUGUCAUUCUGGGCCACCAAUGCAAAAGUCCAUGAGAAAAAGGCCCGAGUUCUUCAGUGAAGGCUCUCAUUCUUGAUGCUUUGGGUUUGUUAUAUCAGUGGAGGGGAGCUUUGUGAGGCAAUGUGGUUCCCCUUUCACUUUGGCUUCCAAGAGACCCAGAGCUCAAUUACAUGCUCAGUUGAAAUAACCGCAUUCAUUAUUAGAAAUAACAUCUACAUUCAUUGAAGAUACUUUUGGUUAUGAGUGGCAGAAAUCCAACCUCAACUACUUUAAAUAAAAAGAUAAUUUAUCAGGUCAAGUAAGUUGAGAUGACUUCAGAGAGGGCUGGAUUCAGGAGCUGGAUUCAAAGAUCCCUUUCAGAUAGGCUUCUUCCACAAGGCAGCCCCAAACUAUCCCAAACUUAUAUUCUAUGAGCUUAGCAACCCCAGAAGAAAGAGAAUCUUUCCCACCACCUCUGGCAGCAAAGUCCUAUUGGAGAUUCUGAUUGGUCCUGCUUGGUGUGUAUGCCCAUUUUUGAACCAUUUACAGUGGCCAGAGGCUUGAGGUACUCUGAUUGGUCAAAUCUGGACCAAAUGACACUCCCAUAGGUGGGAAAAGGAGCCCCACCCUAAGGAGAUGUGGGGAACAGCUAUGCAAGCAGAUGUC
Molecule: long non-coding RNA, 4336 nt
Organism: Bos taurus (domestic cattle)
Lineage: Eukaryota; Metazoa; Chordata; Mammalia; Artiodactyla; Bovidae
Source: Ensembl